GACGAACGCUGGCGGCGUGCUUAACACAUGCAAGUCGAACGGAAAGGCCCCUUUGGGGGUACUCGAGUGGCGAACGGGUGCGUAACACGUGAGUAACCUGCCCUUGACUUCGGGAUAACUUCAGGAAACUGGGGCUAAUACCGGAUAGGAAUCCUUGCUGCAUGGUGGGGGUUGGAAAGCUUCGGCGGUUUUGGCUGGACUCGCGGCUUAUCAGCUUGUUGGUGGGGUAGUGGCUUACCAAGGCUUUGACGGGUAGCCGGCCUGAGAGGGCGACCGGCCACAUUGGGACUGAGAGACGGCCCAGACUCCUACGGGAGGCAGCAGUGGGGAAUAUUGCACAAUGGGCGGAAGCCUGAUGCAGCAGCGCCGCGUGCGGGAUGACGGCCUUCGGGUUGUAAACCGCUUUCAGCAGGGGCGAAGCUUGUGGUGACGGUACCUGCAGAAGAAGCACCGGCUAACUACGUG
This 465-nucleotide ribosomal RNA is filed under the name uncultured bacterium. RNAcentral's name for it is "partial 16S ribosomal RNA". It matches the Rfam family "Bacterial small subunit ribosomal RNA", at positions 28 to 507 of the family's 1533-position model. The record is from RNAcentral.